CCCGCACAAGCGGUGGAGCAUGUGGUUUAAUUCGAAGCAACGCGAAGACCUUACCAGGUCUUGACAUCCCUCUGAAUGGCGCUUAGCAGCGCAGGUCUUUCGGGACAGAGGAGACAGGUGGUGCAUGGUUGUCGUCAGCUCGUGUCGUGAGAUGUUGGGUUAAGUCCCGCAACGAGCGCAACCCUUGCCUUUAGUUGCCAGCACGUAAAGGUGGGCACUCUAGAGGGACUGCCGGUGACAAACCGGAGGAAGGUGGGGAUGACGUCAAAUCAUCAUGCCCCUUAUGAUCUGGGCUACACACGUGCUACAAUGGCCGGUACAACGAGAAGCGAAACCGCGAGGUGAAGCAAAUCUUUAAAGCCGGUCCCAGUUCGGAUUGCAGGCUGAAACUCGCCUGCAUGAAGUCGGAAUCGCUAGUAAUCGCAGGUCAGCAUACUGCGGUGAAUACGUUCCCGGGCCUU
Molecule: ribosomal RNA, 461 nt
Filed under: uncultured Acidaminobacter sp.
Lineage: Bacteria; Bacillati; Bacillota; Clostridia; Peptostreptococcales; Acidaminobacteraceae
Description: bacterial SSU rRNA
Rfam family: Bacterial small subunit ribosomal RNA
Source: RNAcentral